AGUAGACCAAAAAUAUUGAAUAGACGAGAGAGUACAUAUACCAAAUAAGAUAGAUGUGUAUUAUCAAAGAUUAGAUUAAUACAACAUAGCCAAUCGUGAAAUUUCGAUACAAGACUCGACUACACACGAUUUUAAAAGAAACACAGGAAAACAGAAAGUAACAACUGAUAUAAUAUAAUCAAUCGUCAAAUUUCGAAACAAGACUCGAGUACAUACGAUUUUAAACGAAACACAGAAAAAAGAGAAAGUGACAACUGAUACAACAUAGAAAGAAAGGAUCCAUAAGCAAGAUCAAUGCUAUCUAUCUUAUUCUUAAUUCUCCUCAUGAAACCAAAUUCUGAUGAUCAGCUUUACUGAACUUUAGAGCAGUCAGUAGAGGGGCUGAUCUUGUAAGGGAUGUUGACACUACAAGUGUUAGGGAGAGCAGCAGCUUUGCCCAAAUUGAGUCCUGUAAAAGAAGAAGCAGCUGAUUUUAGGCAAGUGCAUGCGGCCUGUCGGUCUACUGUAGUCUUGGCUUGACCCAAAAGACCCUUAACACCAUCACAACAGUUUCUGAGAGGACCGCGGUUCAUUAGAUAAGGGAGACAAGGAGCCAAGGUAGAUGUAACUUGACCACAAGUUAAAGCCUCUGCAUGGGGUGCAACCACUACCAUGCAUAAAAGCACAAAGCAUGCAAUCUUGUUAACCAUUUCCAUUCUUAAUGAUUUAUGAAAAUUAGAAUAGUAAUUAUGAGGUUUAUGAGGAAGUAGUGGUUGUGGAUCUGGCUGCAAGUGUGGCAGUGGCUGUGGAGGAUGUGGUAUGUACCCGGAUAUGGAGAAGUCCACUACCUUUACCAUCAUUGAAGGUGUUGCACCUAUCAACAAUUAUGGAAAUGUUGAGGAGAAAGCAGCUGGAGAAGGAUGCAAAUGUGGAUCAAACUGCACUUGUGACCCUUGCAAUUGCUAAGUUGAUAUAUUCCAUGUGUGUCUCUAUUAAAAUUUAAAACUAUGCUUUUAUAAUUUUCUGUAAUAAUAAUGAUAAGACUACGUGUCUUUCUCUAAUUGGUAUAUUUCUGGAGUGUGAUUUGAGGUUGUAACAAAAAUGCAUUAUUUGUCACAUCAUCUAUAUAUACCAUUUAAGUUUGUU
RNAcentral lists this unclassified non-coding RNA (1125 nucleotides) under Hevea brasiliensis (rubber tree). Lineage: Eukaryota; Viridiplantae; Streptophyta; Magnoliopsida; Malpighiales; Euphorbiaceae. The record is from RNAcentral.